This 496-nucleotide ribosomal RNA is filed under the name uncultured bacterium. Its description in RNAcentral is "partial 16S ribosomal RNA". It matches the Rfam family "Bacterial small subunit ribosomal RNA", at positions 29 to 507 of the family's 1533-position model. The record is from RNAcentral.
AUGAACGCUGGCGGCGUGCCUCAUCCAUGCAAGUCGAGCGAACAGACGAGGAGCUUGCUCCUCUGACGUUAGCGGCGGACGGGUGAGUAACACGUGGAUAACCUACCUAUAAGACUGGGAUAACUUCGGGAAACCGGAGCUAAUACCGGAUAAUAUAUUGAACCGCAUGGUUCAAUAGUGAAAGACGGUUUUGCUGUCACUUAUAGAUGGAUCCGCGCCGCAUUAGCUAGUUGGCAAGGUAACGGCUUACCAAGGCAACGAUGCGUAGCCGACCUGAGAGGGUGAUCGGCCACACUGGAACUGAGACACGGUCCAGACUCCUACGGGAGGCAGCAGUAGGGAAUCUUCCGCAAUGGGCGAAAGCUUGACGGAGCAACGCCGCGUGAGUGAUGAAGGUCUUCGGAUCGUAAAACUCUGUUAUUAGGGAAGAGCAAAUGUGUAAGUAACUAUGCACGUCUUGACGGUACCUAAUCAGAAAGCCACGGCUAACUACGUG